RNAcentral lists this long non-coding RNA (3597 nucleotides) under Carassius auratus (goldfish). RNAcentral describes it as "lncRNA (ENSCARG00000033911.1)". Lineage: Eukaryota; Metazoa; Chordata; Actinopteri; Cypriniformes; Cyprinidae. The record is from RNAcentral.
AUGUAUGUUUCAAAACCAAAAUUUGUUUUUCUGUCAUGUUUUAGAUGCCUGGUCCAACUUAAUAAUGUGGUUGUCCAGCCGUCAAGGAGAGAAGAUGAAAUGGACAUACUGUUCACGCACCAAUCCAAAUGGUGUUGCUUGAGUUCCAUUGACUACCCUUACAACCCCACCAUAAUGGUCACCGUUCAAGACCAAACAAUUAGCCAGAUUCUGCAAAUGGAUAUGGAAUACCACAGAGUUAACGUCACCGUAAAGAUAAUCCAGAUGGAAAUCGAAAGACAUGCCUUUCUUCAGGAUGAUGUCUUGCUAGAGAACGGUCUACACCAUAGCGGACACCACAGGCAUCAUGGAGCUUACUGUCUGGGGCAUACAACAAAACCUUCAGCUGGACUCCUGGUUUUACAUAACCAAUGUUAUGGAUGUUCAGAGGUACAAAAUUCCAGUCCAUGACAAAAGACACAAAAUUUACACCCACCACAUGCACUGACACCACAUUUCCACUACAGCCCACCACAUCUGAACACGUAACUGGAAACAUCAUUGGCGCCAAAGUCAACAUCAUUUACAUUUGUCCACUUAAGCACAAGUUAAAUAACAUGGCACUUUCCUGCACGAGAGUCCUCUCUGACAAAUGCGAUAUAUUUUACAGAGCCGACACCAUUACACUACACACACACACACGCCAAGCUCAAAAUAACAACCACGACCUCUGAUGACAUCAAAUCCAUUAACCUAGAGAACCACGUUCUCCGAUCCACAAUCCAAGUUCCAAAAAACGCCACAACUGACACAACAAUGGACUCUCUUUUAGACCUCCCCACUAUGAAUAUGACAAUACACAACCAGUACAUCACCCACCUGGCAUAUCUGGAAAAAUCACAUACAGACACCCCACAACCCAGCAGUCCACUCAUGCACUUCUCAUCACCUACACAAUCUGCAGCUCCAAGUGAUGACCGAGCCGAACUUGACCCUUUUAUGGUGGAAUCUCCAAUAGACAGUCAGCCAGAAGUAAACCAGCCAACUUCCCAAUCUCCCACUUCUAUUGCAGAUACCCCAAAUAAGUAAUGUAUUGUUAGUUUUAAAUUGCAACUUUGUUUGUUUGUUUUUUUUGUGGAAAUGUGCUUUUGUUUAAAUUUCAAUCCUGUGAGCACUUGAAGUAGCUCUUAUUUUUAUCCUCCCUGAUUUAAAUUGACUCUGUAAAUAUUGAAGAUGCAAGAUGUUGUAUGCAUUUCCAGAUUUAAAUUUUUUUUUUCUGUCUUUGACUAUGGGGAUGUGUUAUUUCUGACUGUUAAUAAAGAACACUCACUUCAAUGCUUGACUCUUGUUUGCUUUAUUAAAUUGCCACAAAAUUGGUUUUAGAUGUCUAUACACAAUGGGAGAAAUGUCAUUUGGUUUAACCUUUAAUCUGUUCAUGUGUCUAGACUUCUUGAGACAGAGAUGAGAAUUUUGUCAGACUUGUUAAAGCCACUUGUUCACUAUAUUUUGAAGUCCAUUCCAAUAUCUUUUAAACUUAACAUGGCUGAAAAAGAGGUACAUGUCAACAAGAGCAUGUUCUGAAAGACUACAUACUAUGCCCUCUAUAGUUUGACAUUUUGCAAGUUAACAGAAAAAGUUAACCUAUUUGAAACCCCUUUAAUUCCUAAGAAAUAACUGCUGGAUUUGAGCAUGCCUAUGUUUGACUUCACUUUAAUUGCAAACUGCAUGACCAUUAACCAAAAGUUAUUAAAUUGUGAACUUAACAAGGUCAACCUCUAAUCGGUUCAGAGGCUGGAUCUCGUCCAAACUUUGAUUAAUCGAAACCGAACUUGGUACACUUCAUCUACACCGUUAUCUGAGGGUCCAAUGGGAACAGUGCCACCUAUGGGUGUUGAGAUACCAAAAAUGCACAUUUGCUUAACUCCUGAACAGUCAGUCAGAAAAUUAUGAUCUUGGUGUCUAUGGAUUCUGUGGGUUAUGCCGACUCGGUCUCAUUCGUCAUUUUCCAACAUAAUGUCUGUCCACCAUAUUGAAUUGAAUAAACUGUUUUUUUUUCGCUACACCUCCUUUGAAAUCUUGUUCAAUUUUGUAAAAUUUUAUCAGAUCUUCAGACCAAAUUUUUUAUAUUCACUCCCAUUCUUGACAUGUAGCUCUUGGAAGUUGUCCGCAGAGAGCUGCACGGGUCCGCUUUUGUAAAUCCGCACCCGCCCGUACCCGCAGUGCUUAAAACCGCAUCCGACCCGUUUUCCGACAGUAGCACUAAUUAAAAUCCGCACCCGACCCACUUAAAAUAGAACCGACAACCGACCCGCACCCAAAAUCAAACCAGUUAAGCCAAUCACAUUAGACACACGUUUAAUUUUAUUGCCAGGUCAUACAGAAGUUAUUUAUGGAAAACUCUUUUUAAAAAAUAUUCAUUUUUUUUAUACAUUUUAUCUUAAUUUUGAUCAAUGUUUUAUCAAUCAAUUGCCCGUAUUUAAUAAAUAAGAAGCAAAUAUAUAGCAGACAAUGUAAUAACCUUAGUGUAAUUGACAGAAUUACUAAAAAUUAUUUUGCUACCUAAAAGUAAAAAAAAAAAAAUUGUGUCAAGCAUGCAUGCAUGUCUAUUUCCUUCAUAUUAAAUAUAAAACGCAUGUGGACUGAUAUUUUUCCAAUGUCUGGACUCCUUUAUUAAUGGAGUAUAUAAACAGAUGUUUCAAUAUAUUGGUAUUAAAUGCAUUUUCGGAGAAUUUAUAUUUCACGUUUUUACUGGAAAUGUCGAAAUACAUGCUCUUUGGUCCAUCAGUGGUUCUGAGUCACUGAUCACAGUAGAAUAAAAUAUCUCAUAAUAAAAUACAAAAUUGACUGAUUUAUGAAUGUAUAUGCAUAGUUCUCAUCAGUCGGAAAUACUCAUAAUUUAGCCCCGGGGCCAGUUUAAUACCGGGUUUCGGUACACAUCCCUACUUAUACCUGAUUUAUAUUUUUUCCUGAUAAGUCCCCCGAUUUAUUUUUAGUGUGUUUAAAAAAAAAAAAAAAAACAUGCAGCAAACAGAGAUCAGGUGAUGAAUCUGUUAAAAUGCAACGACUUGCAAUAGACGACUUAUAUAUUUUUUUCCUCUGAUCAAUUUAAUUUAUUUUUUAGCGUGUUAAAAAUAAAAAAUAAAGAAGAAAUGCAGCAAAUGAAAAUAGCCGAUUAAUCCGUUAAGAUGUUAUACUUCAGAGCAGAGCCUGGGCCUAAUAUAUGCUAUCCAUGUUUUUUUUUUUCAUUGCAUCUGGAAAUGACUUGAUCAGCCUCCCGCAUUGCUCAGCUGUGGACGAUUUAAAAAUGUUUGAUAUAAAAGUUGCUGUCCUAUUUCAUACAGGAAUUGUUCAUUUUAAAAAAUCAAAUUAAAUUGUUAGUUCUAAAUAUAUUAUUAGCACAAGUUCAUUGGAGUGCCCAGCCCUGCUCCUGGUGUUCGACUGUCUUGCAAAGUUUAGCUCCAAUCCUAAUCAAACACACCUGAAGCAACACAUUUUUAAGUGAGCCUGAAGACCUUAAUUAAAGGCAGGUGUGUUUGAUUAGGGUUGGAGCCCCAGGACAGUCCAACGCCAGGAGCAGGGUUGGGCAACCCUGAUUUAAACUAUUUAACAUGCCGUGAC